Molecule: ribosomal RNA, 1286 nt
Filed under: Aeromonas dhakensis
Lineage: Bacteria; Pseudomonadati; Pseudomonadota; Gammaproteobacteria; Aeromonadales; Aeromonadaceae
Description: partial 23S ribosomal RNA
Rfam family: Bacterial large subunit ribosomal RNA
Source: RNAcentral
AGCGUAGCGAGGCGAACCGGGAGAACUGAAACAUCUAAGUACCCCGAGGAAAAGAAAUCAACCGAGAUUCCCUCAGUAGCGGCGAGCGAACGGGGAUUAGCCCUUAAGCAUCUUGGAAGUUAGUGGAACGGUCCUGGAAAGGCCGGCGAUACAGGGUGAUAGCCCCGUACACGAAAACAACCUUGAUGUGAAAUCGAGUAGGGCGGGACACGUGACAUCCUGUCUGAAUAUGGGGGGACCAUCCUCCAAGGCUAAAUACUCCUGACUGACCGAUAGUGAACCAGUACCGUGAGGGAAAGGCGAAAAGAACCCCUGUGAGGGGAGUGAAAUAGAACCUGAAACCGUGUACGUACAAGCAGUGGGAGCCCUUCGGGGUGACUGCGUACCUUUUGUAUAAUGGGUCAGCGACUUACAUUUUGUAGCGAGGUUAACCGUAUAGGGGAGCCGUAGGGAAACCGAGUCUUAACUGGGCGUCUAGUUGCAAGGUGUAGACCCGAAACCGGGUGAUCUAGCCAUGGGCAGGUUGAAGGUUGAGUAACAUCAACUGGAGGACCGAACCCACUAACGUUGCAAAGUUAGGGGAUGACCUGUGGCUGGGGGUGAAAGGCCAAUCAAACUCGGAGAUAGCUGGUUCUCCCCGAAAGCUAUUUAGGUAGCGCCUCGGACGAAUACUACUGGGGGUAGAGCACUGUUUGGGCUAGGGGGUCAUCCCGACUUACCAACCCCAUGCAAACUCCGAAUACCAGUAAGUAAUAUCCGGGAGACACACGGCGGGUGCUAACGUCCGUCGUGAAGAGGGAAACAACCCAGACCGCCGGCUAAGGUCCCAAAGUUCUGGUUAAGUGGGAAACGAUGUGGGAAGGCUCAGACAGCUAGGAUGUUGGCUUAGAAGCAGCCAUCAUUUAAAGAAAGCGUAAUAGCUCACUAGUCGAGUCGGCCUGCGCGGAAGAUGUAACGGGGCUCAAACCAGGCACCGAAGCCGCGGAUUCACGCUAAGCGUGAGUGGUAGGGGAGCGUUCUGUAAGUCUGCGAAGGUGUGUCGAGAGGCAUGCUGGAGAUAUCAGAAGUGCGAAUGCUGACGUAAGUAACGAUAAAGGGGGUGAAAAGCCUCCUCGCCGGAAGACCAAGGGUUCCUGUCCAACGUUAAUCGGGGCAGGGUGAGUCGACCCCUAAGGUGAGGCCGAAAGGCGUAAUCGAUGGGAAGCAGGUUAAUAUUCCUGCACGACUUGUAAUUGCGAUGGGGGGACGGAGAAGGCUAGGUGGGCCAGGCGACGGUUGUCCUGGUG